CACACCGCCCGUCACACCAUGGAAGUCUGCUGCACCAGAAGUAGGUAGUCUAACCGCAAGGGGGCGCCUACCACGGUGUGGCCGAUGACUGGGUG
RNAcentral lists this ribosomal RNA (95 nucleotides) under uncultured bacterium. Its description in RNAcentral is "partial 16S ribosomal RNA". It matches the Rfam family "Bacterial small subunit ribosomal RNA", at positions 1386 to 1482 of the family's 1533-position model. The record is from RNAcentral.